RNAcentral lists this ribosomal RNA (465 nucleotides) under uncultured bacterium. Its description in RNAcentral is "partial 16S ribosomal RNA". It matches the Rfam family "Bacterial small subunit ribosomal RNA", at positions 339 to 795 of the family's 1533-position model. The record is from RNAcentral.
CUACGGGUCGCAGCAGUGGGGAAUAUUGGACAAUGGGGGAAACCCUGAUCCAGCAAUGCCGCGUGUGUGAAGAAGGCCUGCGGGUUGUAAAGCACUUUCGGUUGGGAGGACUGCUUCUAGCACUAAUAUUGUUGGAAGUUGACGUUACCUUCAGAAGAAGCACCGGCUAGCUCCGUGCCAGCAGCCGCGGUAAUACGGAGGGUGCAAGCGUUAAUCGGAAUUACUGGGCGUAAAGCGCGCGUAGGCGGCUAGAUCAGUCGGGUGUGAAAGCCCCGGGCUUAACCUGGGAACUGCAUCCGAUACUGUCUAGCUUCAGUACAGGAGAGGAGAGUGGAAUUCCACAUGUAGCGGUGAAAUGCGUAGAUGUGUGGAGGAGCACCAAUGGCGAAGGCAGCUCUCUGGCCUGAUACUGACGCUGAGGUGCGAAAGCGUGGGGGGCAAACAGGAUUAGAUACCCGUGUAGUC